This 301-nucleotide ribosomal RNA is filed under the name uncultured bacterium. Its description in RNAcentral is "partial 16S ribosomal RNA". It matches the Rfam family "Bacterial small subunit ribosomal RNA", at positions 509 to 809 of the family's 1533-position model. The record is from RNAcentral.
CAGUAGCCGCGGGAAUACAGAGGGUGCGAGCGUUAAUCGGAUUUACUGGGCGUAAAGCGUGCGUAGGCGGCUUUUUAAGUCGGAUGUGAAAUCCCUGAGCUUAACUUAGGAAUUGCAUUCGAUACUGGGAAGCUAGAGUAUGGGAGAGGAUGGUAGAAUUCCAGGUGUAGCGGUGAAAUGCGUAGAGAUCUGGAGGAAUACCGAUGGCGAGGGCAGCCAUCUGGCCUAAUACUGACGCUGAGGUACGAAAGCAUGGGGAGCAAACAGGAUUAGAUACCCCUGUAGUCCCUGUCUCUUAUAU